AUACGUAGGGUCCGAGCGCUGUCCGGAAUUAUUGGGCGUAAAGAGCUCGUAGGCGGCCUGUCGCGUCUGCUGUGAAAGUCCGGGGCUUAACUUCGGGUGUGCAGUGGAUACGGGCAGGCUUGAGGUAGGUAGGGGAGACUGGAAUUCCUGGUGUAGCGGUGAAAUGCGCAGAUAUCAGGAGGAAUACCGGUGGCGAAGGCGGGUCUCUGGGCCUUACCUGACGCUGAGGAGCGAAAGCGUGGGGAGCGAACAGGAUUAGAUACCCUGGUAGUCCACGCCGUAAACGUUGGGCGCUAGGUGUGGGGACUUUCCACGGUUUCCGUGCCGUAGCUAACGCAUUAAGCGCCCCGCCAGGGGAGUACGGCCGCAAGGCUAAA
This 377-nucleotide ribosomal RNA is filed under the name uncultured bacterium. Its description in RNAcentral is "bacterial SSU rRNA". It matches the Rfam family "Bacterial small subunit ribosomal RNA", at positions 523 to 898 of the family's 1533-position model. The record is from RNAcentral.